Molecule: long non-coding RNA, 2636 nt
Filed under: Zea mays
Lineage: Eukaryota; Viridiplantae; Streptophyta; Magnoliopsida; Poales; Poaceae
Description: long non-coding RNA (ZMAY_LNC003495)
Source: RNAcentral
CCGCCACGGAUCCAGUGGCCCGACGUGGAAGGCAGAACUCCCAGACCUUUUCUCUCCACCCUAAGCUUCUGCACGCGCGCACCGCCCCUCACCGUCGGCCUCUUCUCCUCUUCGUCCGCCACAGGAUCUCGCCUCGCCGAGGCCAUGUACCGUGCCGCCGGGGACCACAUCCGCUCCCUCAAGGUUUCGCCCUCUGGAUUUCACUGUGUUGGAGAUCCAUUCAUCACAACUUGACUCGAUUUAUGUCUAUUUACUUUUGUUGCUCGUGUAGGUGAAUAGACAAAAAUACGGGUGAGACAAAUUUUCCUGGUGUUGUACGAGGAGAGGGCAGCCAACGGCCACCGGGAGUUGGGUCCUAGGAGCCACCGACUUCAGCCGCCUGCUCAAUGACGGCGAGGGCGGUGCCUACCUGACAAGCCCGCACGUCGGCAUGGUAGUUGCCAUCAAGAAACUCAAUCCCAAUGACAUAAGGUAUGGUCGUAUGGAUCAGUGGUUUCUUGGCUCAGUUGUGUUAGUACCAUCUUGACAUUGUUGAUCACAGAUUAGUCGGGAUUUUUACAGUGUUAAAUUUUUUUAGAUGACUCGAUGUAUCCUAUUCAGCUAUAUGGAUCGAUUAUGUGUUUCUGUCCUAUUCUUAAAUUGCUAACAAUUAGGCUUAUUGAUUUUAUAUUUCCAGUGGCUAAUUACUGAUAAGAUGCCCAUGGGAGACAUGUUACAGUAAUACAGUCUUCGUAUGGCUUAUGGUUAUGCUGUGUUGUGUGGUAUAGAACAUACCUUUUUCUUUGUUAUGAAGAAGAAUAAUGUUUUGCUCGGCAAGCCCCUUAACUGUGAAGGUUACGAAUAUUGUGAGAUGUUGCUGUCUAGGAGAUCAAUUUGUCAUGCUUCAUUUUUAGAUCGAGCAAUCUCAUUUCUGGGAGGAUGAUUGUACAACUAUUGGCAUGCUUGCACUUGUUUAGCUGCCUCUUUCUGUUCCUUCAUACUAAUGUUGCUUUUGAACUUAUCUUUGCAGGUUCGAAUGCUCCAUUCCUUAGACAAUGCCAACGUCCUGAAAUUUUACUCCUGGUAAGGUUCUUGGGUGUUUGAGUUCUAUGGAUUCAGCUUGGCUGAUUUUGCAGUGUGACAACGAUACUAAUUCGCUAAUGGCUUUGUGAAGGCGAAUGGUACCAUGUGAUCUGCUAACGCCACACACACCAAAAUGUGCACUCCUUUGUGUAUAGACAUUCCAGUUCUUUACUUGUAAUUGAUAAUUGAAGUAUACUCCAAUUCCAAUCACUCUAUAAUUGAUAAUUGCAGUAUACUCCAAUUCCAAUCACUAUUUUUUAUUGUUUAAUAAAUCAUCAUUCAAUAUGAGCAAGGAGGCUAAACGACAUACUAGCCCAAAUAAUGUGUGAUUUAAUUAUUCAUCCAACAACACACCACUAGCACUUCCAGUCCUUUCAUACAAGAUGUUGUUUAUUUUGUAGGUGGUCCUUUUGUGCUUUCCCUUGCACACAAACACAAAGUGAACUUUCUUCUGUGAUCAGGUAACAUAUCAGUCUUUUACUUCAACCGGUAUGUUCACAAUGAGCUUUUUAGAAUAGUUUGUAAAAAUAUAUUCGCAUGUCCAUUUUUCAUUGGAUGUUGGUCUCUCCCAGAUAGCCCAAAUAGAUCUGGUCAACGAACAAACAGAAAUCACAAUGCAAUGCAACUUAACUGUAUGGCCCUUGAAAAGAUAUAAAGGUCUUUUUCUAUAAGAUCUUAGAAAGAAGCAUUUAUAAUCCAACUCAGCUCACAAAAAUGUGGGGACGUAAUGUAUUGAAGCCAAUUAGAAGAAUGAUAUUAUAUAUAAGAUAAUAAAGAGGAUCAUUGUGGUCAACAUGCACAACACAAAAUAAAUAUAGAAAGGUAAUAUAAACUGAUCCACUUAGGGAGCAUAUUGCACCUUUGUUCAGUCAGAUCAAAGGCUCUAAGAAGAUGCAUAAGUGUUAAGUUAUGCUUAAAAGGGAUGAGGGAACCCAACUGCAAAAUCUGUACUUAGCAUUUCACAGGGAAAAACAUACUGCUAAUAUAAAUUAUAUAUUAAAAAAUCAGUCACCUUAUCAUCUUCAUCUUUUUCCAAGAAGGUAUUCAUAACAAUAACCAUUGGUGGCCACACUAUCUCACGAUCAGUGCUUUCUUGCAGUCCCUUCCAUUUCCCAAAUUGUUCACCCGCUGGUAACACUGAAGUUCCCCUGCGAGAAAGCUCCUCUUCCAGCAAUGCAGCCAAUUCCCUGUGAAGUUUAACCCUUGUAGAACCCUUUGUUCUAGCAUGAGUCACUAAAGGUUGCAGCCCUUUGUACCAGUCAAUCGCCCCAGGUCCAUUUUUGCAUGCCGGGCAAUGCCAUUGCCGAGUUUGUCCAUUAAUUUGUUCCAAACUCAAUGUAUUCAAUACUUCAAAGAACUCUUUGAACCACUUGUUUGUUUUUCGAGUCUCAAAACUUUUCUCACUUGCGUCAGAAUCAUAGUCAUCACUGAUAUCAUCACUCAAAUCAUCAUCAUCAUCAUCAUCUGAUGUAUUGUUGCCAUCAACAUUCUCCACCUCAGGGACAGAACCAGAUGGAGGAGCAUCAUCCUUCUUGACUUCAGAUCCAGAUGGGCGAGGCCUGGAUUGCCACUGC